AGCAGUCGCCGCGGUAAUACGUAGGGUGCGAGCGUUGUCCGGAAUUACUGGGCGUAAAGGGCUCGUAGGUGGUUUGUCGCGUCGUCUGUGAAAUUCCGGGGCUUAACUCCGGGCGUGCAGGCGAUACGGGCAUAACUUGAGUACUGUAGGGGUAACUGGAAUUCCUGGUGUAGCGGUGAAAUGCGCAGAUAUCAGGAGGAACACCGAUGGCGAAGGCAGGUUACUGGGCAGUUACUGACGCUGAGGAGCGAAAGCAUGGGUAGCGAACAGGAUUAGAUACCCGGGUAGUCCCUGUCUCUUAUA
Molecule: ribosomal RNA, 303 nt
Filed under: uncultured bacterium
Lineage: Bacteria
Description: partial 16S ribosomal RNA
Rfam family: Bacterial small subunit ribosomal RNA
Source: RNAcentral